Molecule: ribosomal RNA, 505 nt
Filed under: uncultured bacterium
Lineage: Bacteria
Description: partial 16S ribosomal RNA
Rfam family: Bacterial small subunit ribosomal RNA
Source: RNAcentral
AUUGAACGCUGGCGGCAGGCCUAACACAUGCAAGUCGAACGGUAGCACAGAGGAGCUUGCUCCUCGGGUGACGAGUGGCGGACGGGUGAGUAAUGUCUGGGGAUCUGCCCGAUAGAGGGGGAUAACCACUGGAAACGGUGGCUAAUACCGCAUAACGUCGCAAGACCAAAGAGGGGGACCUUCGGGCCUCUCACUAUCGGAUGAACCCAGAUGGGAUUAGCUAGUAGGCGGGGUAACGGCCCACCUAGGCGACGAUCCCUAGCUGGUCUGAGAGGAUGACCAGCCACACUGGAACUGAGACACGGUCCAGACUCCUACGGGAGGCAGCAGUGGGGAAUAUUGCACAAUGGGCGCAAGCCUGAUGCAGCCAUGCCGCGUGUAUGAAGAAGGCCUUCGGGUUGUAAAGUACUUUCAGCGGGGAGGAAGGCGAUGUGGUUAAUAACCGCAUGAUUGACGUUACCCGCAGAAGAAGCACCGGCUAACUCCGUGCCAGCCGUCGCGGUAA